This 691-nucleotide ribosomal RNA is filed under the name Microbacterium sp. enrichment culture clone GK4. RNAcentral describes it as "bacterial SSU rRNA". It matches the Rfam family "Bacterial small subunit ribosomal RNA", at positions 771 to 1461 of the family's 1533-position model. The record is from RNAcentral. Lineage: Bacteria; Bacillati; Actinomycetota; Actinomycetes; Micrococcales; Microbacteriaceae.
UACAGGAUUAGAUACCCUGGUAGUCCACCCCGUAAACGUUGGGAACUAGUUGUGGGGGCCUUUCCACGGUCUCCGUGACGCAGCUAACGCAUUAAGUUCCCCGCCUGGGGAGUACGGCCGCAAGGCUAAAACUCAAAGGAAUUGACGGGGACCCGCACAAGCGGCGGAGCAUGCGGAUUAAUUCGAUGCAACGCGAAGAACCUUACCAAGGCUUGACAUAUAGAGGAAAGUUCUGGAAACAGUUCCCCCGCAAGGUCUCUAUACAGGUGGUGCAUGGUUGUCGUCAGCUCGUGUCGUGAGAUGUUGGGUUAAGUCCCGCAACGAGCGCAACCCUCGUUCUAUGUUGCCAGCACGUUAUGGUGGGAACUCAUGGGAUACUGCCGGGGUCAACUCGGAGGAAGGUGGGGAUGACGUCAAAUCAUCAUGCCCCUUAUGUCUUGGGCUUCACGCAUGCUACAAUGGCCGGUACAAAGGGCUGCAAUACCGUGAGGUGGAGCGAAUCCCAAAAAGCCGGUCCCAGUUCGGAUUGAGGUCUGCAACUCGACCUCAUGAAGUCGGAGUCGCUAGUAAUCGCAGAUCAGCAACGCUGCGGUGAAUACGUUCCCGGGUCUUGUACACACCGCCCGUCAAGUCAUGAAAGUCGGUAACACCUGAAGCCGGUGGCCUAACCCUUGUGGAGGAGCCCGAAGUG